CUGUGAGCCAAGUGGAAAACUGUCUUCUGCUCACCAGUCUGCUCAGAGGAGAUGAGGCUCCCCAGCAGCAAAGUAAAGACAGAGGCUACAGAAUGAAACUGAUAAGUAAAAACGGAUGGCAAUAAAAAUCCAGAUGCUUUCUGAAGCACAUCACUGGCCAAACCAGUCUGCUUUGCCUACCAAACUGCAGAGGAGCCAACAGCAUGUGUCCCUGCUGGGACCCAGAGGUGGAGAUAGCUGUGAUGAUCCCUGGGCAUCCAGGUGCACAUUGUCACAAAUUUGUAAGGGCCAGCAGGAUUCACUUCAGGGUUAA
This 313-nucleotide long non-coding RNA is filed under the name Chloebia gouldiae (Gouldian finch). RNAcentral's name for it is "Erythrura gouldiae (Gouldian finch) lncRNA (ENSEGOG00005016103.1)". The record is from RNAcentral. Lineage: Eukaryota; Metazoa; Chordata; Aves; Passeriformes; Passeridae.